RNAcentral lists this ribosomal RNA (253 nucleotides) under uncultured bacterium. RNAcentral describes it as "partial 16S ribosomal RNA". It matches the Rfam family "Bacterial small subunit ribosomal RNA", at positions 524 to 776 of the family's 1533-position model. The record is from RNAcentral.
AACGUAGGAGACAAACGUUAUCCGGAGUUACUGGGCGUAAAGGGCGUGUAGGCGGUUCGUUAAGUCUGGCGUGAAAGCUCUCGGCUAAACCGGGAGAGGUCGUUGGAUACUGGCGGACUAGAGGAUGGUAGAGGCGUGUGGAAUUCCGGGUGUAGUGGUGAAAUGCGUAGAGAUCCGGAGGAACACCAGUGGCGAAGGCGACACGCUGGGCCAUACCUGACGCUAAAGCGCGACAGCAUGGGGAGCAAACGGG